RNAcentral lists this long non-coding RNA (648 nucleotides) under Zea mays. RNAcentral describes it as "long non-coding RNA NONZMAT003749". Lineage: Eukaryota; Viridiplantae; Streptophyta; Magnoliopsida; Poales; Poaceae. The record is from RNAcentral.
CUAAUCAGUCUCCAUAUCAAAUACUAUACCUAGAUUAUCAGAUAAUAUACCCCGUGCAGUAGUUUUGAUUAAUUAACCCCUGUGAACAAUAAUAGUGUGAAAGUAGAAAAGUGGCGCUAUGGAAUUAUGGAUACAAUGCAGGAACACCUUUAAGUUCAAAACCAAAUGGCAGAAAAAGGGUUAACCAAAGAGCAACUUUGCUUUAAACUCCUACCUGUGACCAUCCUGAGCUAGCAGUGUUUUUUACAGUUCUGAUGAGGAACAACAGUUGAUGAAUAGGCUGGCUGAUUGGCCAUCUCUUGUUCCUCCAUCGUCCUAGCUAUAGCUAGCAUUUGCUCAAACUCAACCAUGCAUCUCCAAUAUCUUCAUUCUUGAUAGGACACUGGCCCAACCCCAGCUGGAGUACUAGUACUAUGAUAAGCCAUCGUCAUUGCCACCGCUGGUGGAUGAAGAAUGGAAUGCAGAAACGGUGUUCAUCGGCCAACUUGAAUUGCCACUGCCAGUGCCACCACCACUGCCGCUGCCACCAGCAUUUCCAUCCCAAACACUGUGUGAUCCUGAUCCGUGGUGUAGAGCUGUCGUGUACUACUUCUGUAAGCUCGCGUCUUGUCCUUUGCUAUCAUCCCCCAUCUUCAUUGCUGACCCUUC